RNAcentral lists this ribosomal RNA (237 nucleotides) under Clostridioides difficile. RNAcentral describes it as "partial 16S ribosomal RNA". It matches the Rfam family "Bacterial small subunit ribosomal RNA", at positions 600 to 841 of the family's 1533-position model. Lineage: Bacteria; Bacillati; Bacillota; Clostridia; Peptostreptococcales; Peptostreptococcaceae. The record is from RNAcentral.
GGCUACGGCUCAACCGUAGUAAGCUCUUGAAACUGGGAGACUUGAGUGCAGGAGAGGAGAGUGGAAUGCCUAGUGUAGCGGUGAAAUGCGUAGAUAUUAGGAGGAACACCAGUUGCGAAGGCGGCUCGCUGGACUGUAACUGACGCUGAGGCACGAAAGCGUGGGGAGCAAACAGGAUUAGAUACCCUGGUAGUCCACGCUGUAAACGAUGAGUACUAGGUGUCGGGGGUUACCCCC